UAGGGAAUCUUCCGCAAUGGGCGAAAGCCUGCCGGAGCAACGCCGCGUGAGUGAUGAAGGUCUUCGGAUCGUAAAACUCUGUUAUUAGGGAAGAACAAAUGUGUAAGUAACUAUGCACGUCUUGACGGUACCUAAUCAGAAAGCCACGGCUAACUACGUGCCAGCAGCCGCGGUAAUACGUAGGUGGCAAGCGUUAUCCGGAAUUAUUGGGCGUAAAGCGCGCGUAGGCGGUUUUUUAAGUCUGAUGUGAAAGCCCACGGGUCAACCGUGGGGGGUCAUUGGAAACUGGAAAACUUGAGUGCAGAAGAGGAAAGUGGAAUUCCAUGUGUAGCGGUGAAAUGCGGAGAGAUAUGGAGGAACACCAGUGGCGAAGGCGACUUUCUGGUCGGUAACUGACGCUGAUGUGCGAAAGCGUGGGGAUCAAACAGG
This 429-nucleotide ribosomal RNA is filed under the name Actinomycetes bacterium. Its description in RNAcentral is "Actinobacteria bacterium partial 16S ribosomal RNA". It matches the Rfam family "Bacterial small subunit ribosomal RNA", at positions 355 to 776 of the family's 1533-position model. The record is from RNAcentral. Lineage: Bacteria; Bacillati; Actinomycetota; Actinomycetes.